Molecule: ribosomal RNA, 576 nt
Filed under: Exserohilum sp. AD-2012
Lineage: Eukaryota; Fungi; Ascomycota; Dothideomycetes; Pleosporales; Pleosporaceae
Description: eukaryotic LSU rRNA
Rfam family: 5.8S ribosomal RNA (bases 178-331)
Source: RNAcentral
GGCCUCGCAAAUAUGAGGGUGUGGUUUGCUGGCACAGCGUCCGCCCCAAGUAUUUUUCACCCAUGUCUUUUGCGCACUUUUUGUUUCCUGGGCGAGUUCGCUCGCCACCAGGACCCAACCAUAAACCUUUUUUUAUGCAGUUGCAAUCAGCGUCAGUAUAAUAAUUCAAUUUAUUAAAACUUUCAACAACGGAUCUCUUGGUUCUGGCAUCGAUGAAGAACGCAGCGAAAUGCGAUACGUAGUGUGAAUUGCAGAAUUCAGUGAAUCAUCGAAUCUUUGAACGCACAUUGCGCCCUUUGGUAUUCCAAAGGGCAUGCCUGUUCGAGCGUCAUUUGUACCCUCAAGCUUUGCUUGGUGUUGGGCGUCUUUUUGUCUCUCCCCUUGUUGGGGGAGACUCGCCUUAAAACGAUUGGCAGCCGACCUACUGGUUUUCGGAGCGCAGCACAAAUUUGCGCCUUCCAAUCCACGGGGCGGCAUCCAGCAAGCCUUUGUUUUCUAUAACAAAUCCACAUUUUGACCUCGGAUCAGGUAGGGAUACCCGCUGAACUUAAGCAUAUCAAUAGCCGGGAGGAAAAA